GAGGGUUUAGCUCAAUGGUAGAGUGUGUGCUUAGUGGUGGAGUGUGUACUUAGCAUGCAUGAGGUCCUAGGUUCAAUCCCCAGUACCUCCA
RNAcentral lists this transfer RNA (91 nucleotides) under Camelus bactrianus (Bactrian camel). It matches the Rfam family "tRNA". Rfam says of the family: Transfer RNA (tRNA) molecules are approximately 80 nucleotides in length. Their secondary structure includes four short double-helical elements and three loops (D, anti-codon, and T loops). RNAcentral also lists the same sequence under 2 other names. The record is from Rfam by way of RNAcentral. Lineage: Eukaryota; Metazoa; Chordata; Mammalia; Artiodactyla; Camelidae.